AGGAUGAACGCUGGCGGCGUGCUUAACACAUGCAAGUCGAACGAUGAACCUCACUUGUGGGGGAUUAGUGGCGAACGGGUGAGUAACACGUGAGUAACCUGCCCUUAACUCUGGGAUAAGCCUAGGAAACUGGGUCUAAUACCGGAUAUGACCUCAUGACGCAUGUUGUGGGGUGGAAAGCCUUGUGCGGCUAGGGAUGGGCCCGCGGCCUAUCAGCUUGUUGGUGGGGUGAUGGCCUACCAAGGCGACGACGGGUA
This 257-nucleotide ribosomal RNA is filed under the name uncultured bacterium. RNAcentral describes it as "partial small subunit ribosomal RNA". It matches the Rfam family "Bacterial small subunit ribosomal RNA", at positions 26 to 285 of the family's 1533-position model. The record is from RNAcentral.